RNAcentral lists this ribosomal RNA (449 nucleotides) under uncultured bacterium. RNAcentral's name for it is "partial 16S ribosomal RNA". It matches the Rfam family "Bacterial small subunit ribosomal RNA", at positions 329 to 794 of the family's 1533-position model. The record is from RNAcentral.
ACCCAGACUCCUACGGGAGGCAGCAGUGGGGGAUAUUGCACAAUGGGGGGAACCCUGAUGCAGCGACGCCGCGUGGGUGAAGGAGCGUUUCGGCGCGUAAAGCCCUAUCGGCAGGGAAGAAGGAGGACGGUACCUGACUAAGAAGCCCCGGCUAACUACGUGCCAGCAGCCGCGGUAAUACGUAGGGGGCAAGCGUUAUCCGGAUUUACUGGGUGUAAAGGGGGCGCAGACGGCAGCGCAAGCCAGGAGUGAAAGCCCGCGGCCCAACCGCGGGACUGCAUUGGGAACUGGCGCGCUGGAGUGCCGGAGGGGUAGGCGGAAUUCCUGGUGUAGCGGUGAAAUGCGUAGAUAUCAGGAGGAACACCGGUGGCGAAGGCGGCCUGCUGGACUGCAACUGACGUUGAGGCCCGAAAGCGUGGGGAGCAAACAGGAUUAGAUACCCCCGUAGU